GACUUGGCUGGGUGGUCCGCUUAACAGCGUGUACUGCUUGGCUGGGUCUUACUUCUUGGUGAGCCGGCAUGCCCUUUAUUGGUGUGUGUCGGGGAACCAGGACUUUUACCUUGAAAAAAUUAGAGUGUUUAAAGCAGGCUCACGCUUGAAUACAUUAGCAUGGAAUAACGAAAUAGGACG
Molecule: ribosomal RNA, 180 nt
Filed under: uncultured Glomeromycotina
Lineage: Eukaryota; Fungi; Glomeromycota
Description: partial small subunit ribosomal RNA
Source: RNAcentral